GGCAAGGAGAGGAGGGCCGUUGGCUGAGGCUGCUUGUAUGGUUGGUUAGAAUGGCGACAGACCCGUACUCUUACUCUUUGCUGCGGGCCUUAAAGUUGUGUUAGUCUGUUGCUCCCAGCUGCGAACUCAGGAACCGGGGAACGUUGAACCGGGCGGGAGUUGGAGAAGCCGACUGAGAGUGAGGCGGGAGGGACGGUGAGAAGGGGCGGCGGACCACGGUCUUUGUGCGGCGGAGCUCAUCUGUCCCAAAGCCGCGGCUCUUGGAGGGGACUCCGGUGCGCCUCAGCUCCUGGGUCUACCCUCCCGCGUCACUUGCACGCGGGCCGAAGCAACUGUGCGCCCUGUGCUGCCCUCGCCCAAGUUGCCGGCCUCUUUCGGAGAACGGUGGCGCCCCGCGCUGACUUCCCCAAACUCACCUUUUUAGUGGCGAUGUUAGCGUAACCUUGUAAACCGAAUCUUCACAGAGCAAUAAACAGAUCUCUUUGACAAAUCUUUUUGUUGUGAACGUUGGGCCUUGAUAUAAAUGUCCAAUGACGGAUCAUUAAAAAUAGCGAGCACAGAGCGUCUCCCACUAGUACCCAAAGAGUGUAAAAUCGGACCAGUAGGUCUUGUGAAACACCAGUUGUAUCUGAAAGCAGUAUUUCUGAAAGCAUGGCUCCCAGAUCACCUGAUUGAGAAUCACCUUGAAUUCUGACUCUUGGACCCCACCCAGAGCCAUCCUAUUCCUGAGCCCGUUGAGCAAGCACUGAGGUGGCUCAUGUAAAAGACUAACAUCCACAGGACAACGGAUUAUUAUUGUUCACCUGAUUAUAAAAUACUUCCUCUGAAGAAAAUGGAAGAGACCAUGGCUGGGCUGACAAAUUAUCUCCAAGGAAAAGUCAUGGGAUCAAGCCCCGCAUCGAGCCCCACACUCAGCGGC
Leptonychotes weddellii (Weddell seal) is the source of this 919-nucleotide non-coding RNA. The record is from RefSeq and is a predicted model, not a curated record. NCBI's taxonomy places the organism in Eukaryota, Metazoa, Chordata, Mammalia, Carnivora, Phocidae.